This 253-nucleotide unclassified non-coding RNA is filed under the name Hevea brasiliensis (rubber tree). The record is from RNAcentral. Lineage: Eukaryota; Viridiplantae; Streptophyta; Magnoliopsida; Malpighiales; Euphorbiaceae.
AGAAGGCCCACAAGACAACUAUACGGAUCGCUAAAUCUAUAACAGAAAAAUUUGCAUUGGUGUUUUGUGAUUAGGAAGACACCUUAUGCCAAACUGUUAGUUAAAUUUGGUGAAUAUAAAAUUUGAAAAAGAAGAGUUUGCAAAAUAGAUGGAUGACAAGUAAAAACACUUUGUUCUCGUGAAGGUGUACUGAAUUAAGUCGGACAGUGGGGAAGGGUAAAUACUCACAAUUAUAUUAUCUAAUUGACAUCGG